Molecule: ribosomal RNA, 249 nt
Filed under: uncultured bacterium
Lineage: Bacteria
Description: partial 16S ribosomal RNA
Rfam family: Bacterial small subunit ribosomal RNA
Source: RNAcentral
UCAGAGUUUAUCUGGCUCAGGACGAACGCUGGCGGCGCGCCUAACACAUGCAAGUCGAACGAGAGAGAAGGAGCUUGCUUCUUCGAUCGAGUGGCGAACGGGUGAGUAACGCGUGAGGAACCUGCCUCAAAGAGGGGGACAACAGUUGGAAACGACUGCUAAUACCGCAUAAGCCCACGGAUCGGCAUCGAUCUGAGGGAAAAGGAGCAAUCCGCUUUGAGAUGGCCUCGCGUCCGAUUAGCUAGUUGG